RNAcentral lists this ribosomal RNA (467 nucleotides) under uncultured bacterium. Its description in RNAcentral is "partial 16S ribosomal RNA". It matches the Rfam family "Bacterial small subunit ribosomal RNA", at positions 28 to 507 of the family's 1533-position model. The record is from RNAcentral.
GAUGAACGCUGACAGAAUGCUUAACACAUGCAAGUCCACUUGAAUUUGGGUUUUUAACUUAGGUUUGGGUGGCGGACGGGUGAGUAACGCGUAAAGAACUUGCCUCACAGCUAGGGACAACAUUUGAAAACGAAUGCUAAUACCUAAUAUUAUGAUAAUAGGGCAUCCUAUAAUUAUGAAAGCUAUAAGCGCUGUGAGAGAGCUUUGCGUCCCAUUAGCUAGUUGGAGAGGUAACGGCUCACCAAGGCGAUGAUGGGUAGCCGGCCUGAGAGGGUGAUCGGCCACAAGGGGACUGAGACACGGCCCUUACUCCUACGGGAGGCAGCAGUGGGGAAUAUUGGACAAUGGACCGAGAGUCUGAUCCAGCAAUUCUGUGUGCACGAUGAAGUUUUUCGGAAUGUAAAGUGCUUUCAGUUGGGAAGAAACAAAUGACGGUACCAACAGAAGAAGUGACGGCUAAAUACGUG